UCCCGAUGAUGACACCCGCCGCGGCUGUCUGAGGCAGCUGAGGAAAUUGGUUGAGAUUCUGACGU
RNAcentral lists this small nucleolar RNA (65 nucleotides) under Macacine gammaherpesvirus 4 (Rhesus lymphocryptovirus). Its description in RNAcentral is "Macacine herpesvirus 4 (Rhesus lymphocryptovirus) Human herpesvirus 1 small nucleolar RNA". It matches the Rfam family "Human herpesvirus 1 small nucleolar RNA". The record is from Rfam by way of RNAcentral. Lineage: Duplodnaviria; Heunggongvirae; Peploviricota; Herviviricetes; Herpesvirales; Orthoherpesviridae.